GCCGCCCUCCCCUGACAGAGCCGGCGCCGCCCGCGGCGUCCUCCCCCGGCGCCUCCCGCGGCAUCCUCCCCCGGCGUAGCCCACGGCCACGCCCUCCCUGGUCGCAGCUCCCCCGUCGCGCACCUCCUGCGCAGCUCCCCGACGCGCCGCUCUCCUCCGACGGCCACCUCCGGGCGCACCUCCCCGACGCGCUGCUGGCCGCAGAAGCCUCGUCCGGCCGCACCGCACUGACCUGCCGGUCGCCAACGACGCAGCAGUGAGACCCGGCACCAACGCGCCGCCAUGCCGCAGUCGAGGUCGCCUGCUGCUUCCAUGGCUGGGAGAGAAGAAAUGUCCAUUCUUUAUGUGGAUGGAAGAGUGCAAGCAAGAAGUGGCAAAGAAGGUGAAAAAAAGAUUUGAAAGCUGCAGUUCGUGAGGCAAGCCAUGUUGAAAACGAAGAUGUGGGAGAAAUAAAGGGUCGCAACAGGAUUUAUGAUGAAGACAAGGCAGUAAUCAAGAUGGACAAAUAUGAACUCAAGAUGGACAAGCUUAUUGUUUUGGUGCAGUUGCUUGUGGUCCUCUGUUUAAUCAUGACUGUAAUAGUUCUUUUAGGUGUGGUAGUGUUUAUUUGCAAGUGAAUGUACGUGUUUGUUGGGUAUUUUAACGAUGCAAAUAAAUCCGCAAGCGUACGAAUACUGUUGUAGCUUUCACUCGUGAGCAUUCAAGGAUAUUGUAUCCACA
Panicum virgatum (switchgrass) is the source of this 720-nucleotide long non-coding RNA. RefSeq lists it as uncharacterized. The record is from RefSeq and is a predicted model, not a curated record. The transcript is spliced from 2 exons. Lineage: Eukaryota; Viridiplantae; Streptophyta; Magnoliopsida; Poales; Poaceae.